CCUACGGGCGGCAGCAGUGGGGAAUAUUGCACAAUGGAGGCAACCCUGAUGCAGCGACGCCGCGUGAAGGAAGAAGGAUUUCGGUAUGUAAACCUCUAUCAGCAGGGACGAAAAUGACGGUACCAUACUAAGAAGCCCCGGCUAACUACGUGCCAGCAGCCGCGGUAAUACGUAGGGGGCAAGCGUUAUCCGGAUUUACUGGGUGUAAAGGGAGGGUAGGCGGUUCAGUAAGAUAGAAGUGAAAGCCCGGGGCUCAACUCCGGGACUGCUUUUAAAACUGUUGAACUAGAUGGCCAGAGAGGAAAGUGGAAUUCCGAGUGUAGCGGUGAAAUGCGUAGAUAUUGGGUGGAACACCAGUGGCGAAGGCGGCUUACUGGACUGAAAAUGACGCUGAGGCUCGAAAGCAUGGGGAGCAAACAGGAUUAGAUAC
This 430-nucleotide ribosomal RNA is filed under the name uncultured bacterium. Its description in RNAcentral is "partial 16S ribosomal RNA". It matches the Rfam family "Bacterial small subunit ribosomal RNA", at positions 338 to 785 of the family's 1533-position model. The record is from RNAcentral.